RNAcentral lists this ribosomal RNA (453 nucleotides) under uncultured bacterium. RNAcentral describes it as "bacterial SSU rRNA". It matches the Rfam family "Bacterial small subunit ribosomal RNA", at positions 29 to 506 of the family's 1533-position model. The record is from RNAcentral.
AUGAACGCUUGCGGCACGCCUAAAACAUGCAAGUCGAACGAACCGUUCUUCGGAUCGGUUAGUGGCAAACGGGUGAGUAACACGUGAGUGACCUGCCCCGAAGUGGGGGAUAACCACUCGAAAGGGUGGCUAAUACCGCAUACGCUUGGCGAUUCGGUUCGUCAAGCAAAGCCGAAAGGCGCUUUGGGAGGGGCUUGCGGCCGAUUAGCUAGUUGGUGGGGUAACGGCUCACCAAGGCUCUGAUCGGUAGCUGGUCUGAGAGGAUGAUCAGCCACACUGGCACUGAGACACGGGCCAGACUCCUACGGGAGGCAGCAGUUAGGAAUAUUGCGCAAUGGGCGAAAGCCUGACGCAGCGAUGCCGCGUGGGUGAUGAAGGCCUUCGGGUCGUAAAGCCCUUUUCUGGGGGAAGAGCAAGGACGGUACCCCAGGAAUAAGUCUCGGCUAACUACGU